Molecule: long non-coding RNA, 212 nt
Filed under: Gossypium raimondii (Peruvian cotton)
Lineage: Eukaryota; Viridiplantae; Streptophyta; Magnoliopsida; Malvales; Malvaceae
Description: long non-coding RNA (GRAI_LNC001447)
Source: RNAcentral
GUACGUACGUUACCCUGGGUUUUCAAAAAAAAAUUAAAAAAAUUGAAAUAAAAGAAAAGAAAAAAAGGAAAAAAAUGAGUAGAAACUAAAAAAAAAGUUUGGAAAUCCUCCGAUAAAAAUUUCUUCCGUUUCAUAUUCUGGAGCUAUUUUACGUUAGUUUGUGAAAUUUAGCGAUAACAAAAAAUUUUCGACCCAAAAAAUUCCCAUUUUAC